Non-coding RNA from Gossypium arboreum, 145 nucleotides. The record is from Rfam. Lineage: Eukaryota; Viridiplantae; Streptophyta; Magnoliopsida; Malvales; Malvaceae.
UGUUAAAAUUUUUAUCUAUUUUUACUGUUAAAAAUUAGCGCAACAGAUGGAACAACCAGACAGUUGCACGUGGUGUACCAUAUGUACCUCAUAUUGAUGUAUAAGAACCAGUUUUUAAUAGUAGAAAUAGAUGAGAUUUUUAAUA